CGGUCGUGGUGGUGUGGG
Molecule: microRNA, 18 nt
Filed under: Macrophomina phaseolina MS6
Lineage: Eukaryota; Fungi; Ascomycota; Dothideomycetes; Botryosphaeriales; Botryosphaeriaceae
Description: miR-1268
Source: RNAcentral